RNAcentral lists this ribosomal RNA (638 nucleotides) under uncultured bacterium. RNAcentral describes it as "bacterial SSU rRNA". It matches the Rfam family "Bacterial small subunit ribosomal RNA", at positions 391 to 1045 of the family's 1533-position model. The record is from RNAcentral.
UUCACGCCGCGUGAGGGAUGAAGGCCUCUGGGCUGUAAACCUCUUUUAUCAAGGAAGAAGAUCUGACGGUACUUGAUGAAUAAGCCACGGCUAAUUCCGUGCCAGCAGCCGCGGUAAUACGAGAGUGGCAAGCGUUAUCCGGAAUUAUUGGGCGUAAAGCGUCCGCAGGCGGUCUUGUAAGUCUGUCGUUAAAGCGUGGAGCUUAACUCCAUUUGAGCGAUGGAAACUGCAAGACUAGAGUGUGGUAGGGGCAGAGGGAAUUCCCGGUGUAGCGGUGAAAUGCGUAGAUAUCGGGAAGAACACCAGUGGCGAAGGCGCUCUGCUGGGCCAUAACUGACGCUCAUGGACGAAAGCCAGGGGAGCGAAAGGGAUUAGAUACCCCUGUAGUCCUGGCCGUAAACGAUGAACACUAGGUGUCGGGGGAAUCGACCCCCUCGGUGUCGUAGCCAACGCGUUAAGUGUUCCGCCUGGGGAGUACGCACGCAAGUGUGAAACUCAAAGGAAUUGACGGGGGCCCGCACAAGCGGUGGAGUAUGUGGUUUAAUUCGAUGCAACGCGAAGAACCUUACCAGGGUUUGACAUUCUGCGAAUCCCUUUGGAAACGAGGGGUGCCUUGGGAGCGCAGUGACGGUGGUGCU